AUGGAUAUUUUUUAUGUUGACUUUCAUUACGGGGGACAUUUUGUUGAUGAUAAGGGGGUACUCGAAAUAUGGUAUGAUUUUGCUGGCAAAUUAAAGUCGCUAGAAAAUGACUUUGGUGCAAUAGAAAUGCUAAAUUGGUCCAAGAUUACUAUAAAGGUAAACCUAUACAUAGUCCACCCUAUUUCACAACCUGAAGUAACAAGUAGUUAA
This is a non-coding RNA of Vicia faba (fava bean), 210 nucleotides long. NCBI's taxonomy places the organism in Eukaryota, Viridiplantae, Streptophyta, Magnoliopsida, Fabales, Fabaceae. The record is from the annotation of a GenBank genome assembly.